GCGACAGAGAGACACAGAGAGACACAGAGAGAAGAAAAAGAAAAUACCUACCACAAUGACUAGUUAAUGCCAAUCGAGGUGGGAAACAGCACUGUUUGCUGGGCUUGGUGUACAUAAAGUUGAAAGUGAACUGAGCAGCAGUGGUUCGUGGCUCUUUGCACAGAAUUUGUCUUAUUUUUUAUUUAAGUUAAACUUUUUUAGUUUUGAGAAUUUCAUUUGAGUACUGUAUUUAACCAUUUCCACCCCACCUCCGCUCCCUCCAACUCUUUCUAUGUUCCCUCUACUCGAUCAUUUCAUUUCAAAUCAUGACCUCUCUCUUCCUUCUUCUUUUUCCUUUUCUCUCUCUAACACACACACACACACACACACACACACACACACCACAUACAUCACAAUUUACUAGUUCCAUUUAGUAUUGCUUAUAUGCAUAUGUGUUUAGUGCUAAACAACUUGAUAUUGGAUAUCCUGUUGGUGGCUCUGGCUUACGGUUCAUCUGUGAGAAAACUGAUUCUUCUUUCUCAGCAGCUGGUAGCCUGCAGCUCUCCCUCUAGGUGUGGAAUCUUUGUGAAUGUUUCCCCUCUUCACAAUGGCACAUCAACUGGUAGUAUCAUUAUGUGGGUCUUAAUUAGUCAAUUGUAUUGCUGAGAUUUUGUGUGUGCAGCCUCCCUGUCCUUUAUAGAAGAAAUUCUCCCAACAAGCAGAAGCUUGUCUUCUAGGCAAUUCAGUCUUAUUAAGUUGACAACCAAUAUUAACUAUCACAAAGAUAUUUCCAAAUUCGCUUGCAUUGGGCUUCAACAUAUGAUUUUUGAGAAGAAAAUAUCCAGUGCAUAGCAGACCAUGACCAUUCCAGCUGGCAAACAGCAUUAUCAAAGAUGAAAGGAGCCCAAAGCUUCAAAUGGAACACAUGGGUGAGAGCCUUCUGGUCCACUUGAAACUGGGUUCAGACAACUUCUGUAAAUUGCAGCACAGUUAAUAUUCAGUCUUGGGGUCAUAUAGACUGGGUUGUAUUAGUCAUCUUUGCCAUUAUGUGUAAAAGCAACCACUGACUACUCUUUGUCUAUAAGUUGAAAGAGUGUUGGUCUAUUUCAAUAAAUCCAAUCAAUUUUUAUUUAAAUGGACACUGAAAAUUGAAUUUCAUGCAAUUUUCCCAUGCUACAAAUACAGUUUUUUCCAACUACGUAAAAAUGUUAAAGCAAUUCUCAGGAGCCAAAACAGGCGUGUGUGUGUGUGUGUGUGUGUGUGUGUGUGUGUGUGUGUGUGUGUGUGUGUGUGUGCUUUCCCUGGAUGUAUGAAUAUACAGUCUGUGAUUUUUUUAUUCCUGGAUGUACGCAUGUACUUUAUGUGAAUGUCUGGUGCCCUCAGAGGCCAGAAGAUGGUAUUGGAUCCCCUGGAGAUAGAGUUAGAGAUGGUUGUGGACUGCCAUGUGGAUGCUGGGAAUCAACCGCGUGUCUUCUGCAAGAGCAGCAAGUGGUGAGCCAUCUCUCCAGCUCAGGUCUACGCCAAACUCUGCCUCCACCCCUCACUCGUACAAACCUCUUAUACCUGUGGAUGGAUGGGAUAGCAGAGUUGGAGAGAGGUGAUGUUUCGCAUAGGUGAAGAGCAAGGAGAAUCUUAUCACGUGGCAGGACAGCUUUGCACAGCUCCAACCCUGUGGUAAAAAGAGCUACACUUCAUCUUACUUACGAGCCCUCACUCUCCAGGUCAAUCACAGAACAGUCCAAGGUUCCUGCAACGUGGAGGAUGUCCUUCCCACAGAAAAUGAAAAACAAUGUGUCUUGGAAUGGCCCCAGAGAUCCUGCAGACACAGCCUGGUCACAAAUGGCCUUGUUUUGAAGCAGAACUUGGGUUUAUAAGCAGUUCUGUCAGCUUCGAGGUCCUCCUCACAUUGUUUUGUCUGUUUUGUUUGUUUUGUCUUUUUCCUCUUAUUAUAGACUUCUCAAACUUGCAGCUAAAAUUUAUGGAGCCUAAGACAAGAAAACCAUGAAAAGCCCACACACCAUUGCCUAAUAUUUACAAGUUAUACAUCAAACUAAUAUACUACUAAACACAUGUGUCUUAAUGAAGCAUUAUGGUGGGGGAAAAUCUAUAUGAAAUUAUGAUUUUUUUGUUGAGAAAAAUCUCCAAAACAAAUAAAUUUAUUAUUACAAAUACAAUCUUCAUAUGAGAAAUAAGAUAAAACACAAAUAAUAAUUCAUAGUGCAUCUACAUCAUGAAAUAUAUUUUUCUCUUUCAGCAAAAAUCACUAAUUCUGUGAUCUGAACCAAUAUUCUCUCAUGAUUUGUGUUUUAAAGGUUUAGAAACAAGUGUAAAUCUACUAAAAAUGUUCAAAAUCUGAAACAAUUUUCACCAAGGAAUAUACAAUAAAAUAAACAUGAAAGAAUUUUAA
Mesocricetus auratus (golden hamster) is the source of this 2386-nucleotide long non-coding RNA. RefSeq lists it as uncharacterized. The transcript has 3 exons. The record is from RefSeq and is a predicted model, not a curated record. Lineage: Eukaryota; Metazoa; Chordata; Mammalia; Rodentia; Cricetidae.